CCCUUAGAUGUUCUGGGCGGCCCGCGCACUACAAUGGCGUGUGCAGCGAGUGCCGAAGUAGAGUUUUCCGAGGUAUUCUUGCAAUGCUCGUUUUGAUGGGGAUAGACCCUUGCAACUGUUGGUUUUGAACGAGGAAUUCCCAGUAAGCGCGAGUCAUAAGCUCGCGUUGAUUACGUCCCUGCCCUUUGUACACACCGCCCGUCGCUACUACCGAUUGAACGGUUUAGUGAGGGCCUCGGAUUGGUCUCGGCCCGCUCUUUACCGGGCGGCGCCGUUGGUCGAGAAGACGCUCGAACUUGAUCGUUUAGAGGAAGUAAAAGUCGUAACA
RNAcentral lists this ribosomal RNA (328 nucleotides) under uncultured eukaryote. Its description in RNAcentral is "partial 18S ribosomal RNA". It matches the Rfam family "Eukaryotic small subunit ribosomal RNA", at positions 1470 to 1796 of the family's 1831-position model. The record is from RNAcentral.